UGGAACAGGGAAGUGGUUCAAACAGUUUGAAAUCCCUGACAAAUCUGUCGACAUACCUCCACUGACUUCUUUAUCAAUGUGAUUUCUCUCAGAGAGGAACAUUAAGAUCGCACUGAAGGAACGUCGGUAAACAUGACGAGGACUCUGGGAUUUUUGAACGAGACAUAUCAGCAAACUUAAGGACUACAAAUAUGGAUACUCUUGUAGUUUCAAGUGUGUUCUGGGGGACUUCCACUGACUCACUCUCCCACAAAAACCAUCUUUAUUUUCUGGUCUUCAAAGGAGGAAGUGGACACUGAAUGAUGAUCAUACAAUGAGGAAUCAAACUUAUGAAACAAACUGGUGUGAACACAAAUGAUCAGAAAUCUUUAAAACCAGGACUGCAGUUAAAGCAGCUCGGCUGAAGUGAAGUGAAGCAGAUGUGAUCACAAAAAAAGUGAAAAAAGACUUUAAAUAUCAUGGAUGAGACGAAGACACAAAGUUACAUCAAACAUCAAGAUGAAGACACAAUGAAAGUGUUUCCCAGUCACUUCUGUCAUGGGAACAUUCAACAACGUCUGGAUUUGUGGCCACAUUUUCUUCAUGACCAUGUAUCUCCAAUCCCUUUGAAACCACAGAAGAUAAUGUGUUUUAUAAAACGUACAGCUCAACAUCUAAGGUUCAACCAAUAAAACCUGAGGAGUCAUCUACUCCGGUCCAGUGUGUCGAUGACCCUACUGGUUUGACUGGAGUCGUGGUGUUUGGAGAGAGAACAUAUCCAUUACCUAAUCCUCUGAUUGGGAACAAUCAGCAGAAUCA
Long non-coding RNA from Labrus mixtus (cuckoo wrasse), 798 nucleotides. RefSeq lists it as uncharacterized. Lineage: Eukaryota; Metazoa; Chordata; Actinopteri; Labriformes; Labridae. The record is from RefSeq and is a predicted model, not a curated record. The transcript has 5 exons.